This 497-nucleotide ribosomal RNA is filed under the name uncultured bacterium. RNAcentral's name for it is "partial 16S ribosomal RNA". It matches the Rfam family "Bacterial small subunit ribosomal RNA", at positions 28 to 507 of the family's 1533-position model. The record is from RNAcentral.
GAUGAACGCUGGCGGCGUGCCUAAUACAUGCAAGUCGAGCGAACAGACGAGUAGCUUGCUCCUCUGACGUUAACGGCGGACGGGUGAGUAACACGUCGAUAACCUACCUCUAAGACUGGGAUAACUUCGGGAAACCGGAGCUAAUACCGGAUAAUCUCUUUAACCGCAUGGUUCAAUAGUGAAAGACGGUCUUGCUGUCACUUAUAGCUGGAUCCGCGCCGCAUUAGCUAGUUGGUAAGGUAACGGGUUACCAAGACAACGAUGCGUAGACGACCGGAGAGGGGGAUCGGCCACACGGGAACUGAGCCACGGUCCAGACGCCUGCGGGAGGCAGCAGUAUGGUACCUGCCGCAAUGGGCGAGAACCUUGCGGAGCAACGCCGCGCGAGUGAUGAAGGUCUUGCGUGCGGAAUACUCGGUUAUGAGGUAAGAACAAAUGUGUAAGGAACUGAGCACUUAUUGACGGUACCUAAACAGAAAGCCACGGCUAACUACGUG